Talpa occidentalis (Iberian mole) is the source of this 1397-nucleotide long non-coding RNA. RefSeq lists it as uncharacterized. The transcript is spliced from 4 exons. NCBI's taxonomy places the organism in Eukaryota, Metazoa, Chordata, Mammalia, Eulipotyphla, Talpidae. The record is from RefSeq and is a predicted model, not a curated record.
CUCUGGUGGCAGACACCCUUCUUUUCCCUGCCUCACCCAUGGCGUGGGCUGCAGGCCCUUCUUCUGGGUCUGAUCCUGCUGCCGUGGAUUCUGUCCACUGUCCUCUGCUUUUCCCCCAUCCGGUCUUCCCAGGGAUUUCACCCUAUCUUAGUCACCUAAGCUGCCACCAGGCUGUCUUUCUAGAAUCUCCUUGUUGAAACCCAGGAUCAGCUUCCCAUGGCCCAAAUCCCAAACGCUAAUGCCGAGACGGUUCGAGGCUCAGCAGGUCCCUGGCUCUCUUUGCACCUCCACCUCCUUCCCACUGCCCUGUCCAGCCUUCCCUCCUGCUGUGCCCCGUCAUGCCUUCCAGUUGGCUGGUCAUAUCACCAGCAUUUCUGGAAUGUUCCUGCUGUCUCUUGCUCCAUACCUUUGACUCCAUCUGGCAUGCCUAUCUCCAUUUCUCCACCUAAAAAGCCUGAUUCACCCUCCAGGACUCUGCUGCAAGAGCGCUUCAUCUGUGAAGCCUUUCCCCCUGCCCUGCGGAGUCUCUAGCCCCUCAGACCAGGCAUCAGUCAUUCACGCAGAGGCCCGACCCACCGCCUGCCGGGGCCUCAAGGAGAAGUUGGCCAUAAGCUUUGGGGGGAGGAAGGCAGAGCUUGCCAGGACAUCAGCAAGGAAUAAGAACGAGCAGGGAAGGAGAGGAAGUGCCUGUGGGGCAUCUCUGGCGCUGUGGGGUCACGUCAAAACAGGCAGAUCAGGGGGAGAAAGGGACACAUUUCAUUACCUUCCUAUGGCGAAUCCACAUGGAUGAAGAUUCUAAGGAAAGUGAGGCCAAAGGGGGCUUUGUCCCCAGCUGAGGACUGGGAUGGGGGCCUGGGGCUUCAAGGAGGGGGACCCCACAACGAGGUCUGCACCGGCCUUUGCUUUGAAUGGAGAUGGGCUUCUCUGAGGGAAGGGAUGUUUCUGGUAGUAACCCGAGUUCUGGGUUAUUCCCCCAAAUUUCACUCUUCCAGUAGUGAAGGGGGGAUAAGAGUUUCUCUUGAGCCCGAAGGGCCUCAAGUGACCUCAGCUCCAAAUUAUCCACAUGCCAAAGUGACACCUCUUAGGAAGGCCAGUUUUGGCCGUCUUGGGGAGACCUGUCUGAACAUCUUGGGAAGCUUCCGCAGCACCUUGGAGAGACCUGGCCCUCUGCAUGCCCCAGGAAGAGUCUGAGGGCGCAGCAUCCAUGGGGCACCUCUGGGAGCCACUGCUGAGGCAGCCGCACCUGCCCCUAGCGCCCAGCUCAGCACCUUGCACACGUCACUGGCUGGAGCGAAGUGGCUUGGAAACACCCGGCUGAGCACUGGGCACAGUCAGAAGCGCAGGAGGGCGAGAGAAUUCACCCGAGCCAGAGCGGGGAGCAGAGCAGGCAGAAGGAC